RNAcentral lists this ribosomal RNA (301 nucleotides) under uncultured Pseudomonadota bacterium. RNAcentral describes it as "bacterial SSU rRNA". It matches the Rfam family "Bacterial small subunit ribosomal RNA", at positions 150 to 484 of the family's 1533-position model. Lineage: Bacteria; Pseudomonadati; Pseudomonadota. The record is from RNAcentral.
GAGGAAACUUGUGCUAAUACCGGAUAAGUCUUUACAGAGAAAGCUUUAUGCACCAUUGGAUGAGCCUGCACUUGAUUAGUUAGUUGGUAGGGUAAUGGCCUACCAAGACUUUGAUCAAUAGCUGAUUUGAGAGGAUGAUCAGCCACAUUGGGACUGAGACACGGCCCAAACUCCUACGGGAGGCAGCAGUGGGGAAUCUUGCACAAUGGAGGAAACUCUGAUGCAGCGAUGCCGCGUGAGUGAAGAAGGCCCUUGGGUUGUAAAGCUCUUUCGUCGGGGAAGAAAAUGACUGUACCCGAAU